Molecule: RNA transcript, 9323 nt
Organism: Chroicocephalus ridibundus (black-headed gull)
Lineage: Eukaryota; Metazoa; Chordata; Aves; Charadriiformes; Laridae
Gene: FOXN2
Gene name: forkhead box N2
Exons: 3
Source: RefSeq, a predicted model, not a curated record
GUUUGGGAAAGGGCCUUGUUGUGUGUACGGUGUGUGCUGGUAACUCCCCCCGGGGUGUGGGCCCAGCCGUGGUGCCGCUUGGGCUGAGGGUGCUCUCUUGCUUCAGUUGCUUGUUUCCUGACUGGUUGUUAAUGAAUUUUUUCACUAAGGGGAAUAUAUAUAUUCCUUGGUCACUGUGCACACUCGUAUUUCAUUACCUUUUGCUAAUACAACAAUAUGCUCUUUCUCUUGGGCUGGCAGUUCAGGCAGUGUAUGAGGCUUCUCCUGCUUUAUUGUAUUUGUCAUGUUGGUUCUUGGGUGGUGGCCUGAAAACAGAAAAGAAAAAUAUGAUUGAUGUUAGUUGUGCUUUUUUUUUUUUCCUUUUCAGGAAUCACUUAAUAAAAUGGAUGUCAAAAUCCAAGCAUUAAGGAAGAUAUUUUCUUUUUGCAGGGUUGCUCAGGAGUCCACUUCUAAUCCUGUCAAGGUGGGUUUAUGUGUAGUCCUACUUAAGCUAAGCACUUGGAGUCUGCGGAACAAGGGACUGUGUCUGUACCUGAAAAGCAAAAGUGUGUUAUCUGGUGUAAAAUGUAAAUAAAUGGUUGUAAUUAAAAACACAUUAGGUAGGAGCUUGUUCAAAGCUGACAAAUGAAGGUAUAAUAUAACCAUAGGAAAUGACAGCUUUAAAAAAAGCUUUAAAAACAUUUAUACUUGUGCUUCUGAAGUAAAUGACAUUGAUGCUGUACUUUUAAGUUCAUAUCAGACCAGAAAUAAAUGUGUGAGAAAUCUUACCAUAGCUGUUAAGGAGCAUUUCUUAGACUUAGUAUUUUGUUGCCUUGAGGAAUGACUGGAGAAAUAGUGGAGGACUGUUUUCCUUAAAAGUAAUUCUUAACACCUUCUCUAACAGUAGGGGAAGAAAUAAUAAAGGUAAACUUUUGUGAAAAGAACUUCAUAGAGAAAGAGAAUAAAUGUCAUUCUGUUUGGGGCCUGUUUCUAUUAUAACAAUUACCAGAUUGGCGUACUAAGCAUUCCGUAGAGCUAUGCAAUUACAUGAAGGUAAAGAUACUCUUUCUAUUGAUAACAGCAUUGUGAAACUAUGCUUUAACUCUUGAAUGUGAAGAAUAACCAUACCCAAGAACUGUGCUGAACUUACUGUGUAAUGGUUAAGGAUUUUCACCUCAUUAAAAACCUAUAAUAUUAAAAAUACAAUAUUUUAAUAGUUUAAUGGCAUUUAUGUUCAACUGUUCUAGCUGUGCUUUCUUCACCAAGAUCUAGCAAACGAAUUCUUAGUGUCACAAGGUUACCUGAAAUUAUUCAAUAUUGGUGUACUCCAAACUUGUAGUACUCUGACUAAAUCUUUGAAAGUCUGUUCAAGGGUCAAGAUAGACGACAAGCUAAUUUUCACCUAAAGCAUAUAAGAAUCUAAAGCUUCUGUUAUUAGAAUAAAAUUGUAUUGAAAACUCUAAUUGGAGCAGACUUUAGACUUUUUUUAAAAAGUCUUGAACUAGUUUGAAACCAAAUAAUGUCUUGGCCUAAAAAACCCUUUCUGUAAUUGACUUCUUAAGGUGGUAACUUGUGUUAGGAGCAUGAUGGUGGGAGUCUGGCGAAACUUACUGUAAAUGGGGAAAAACAAGAGUCUAUGUAUAAGCAGGUCCAGUAGGUAGUCCGACUGACUGAGCCAAAAUGCAUUGAGAGCCAUCUGUUACGCAGAAGUUUGCAUGCUCUAAGUUGAUAUGAUGAGAACCUCAUAUGCUGAGUAAGACAAACUUGAUGAAGUUACUAAAUAAAUUAGUAUUUAUUUAGUAAUUCACUGGUAACUUACGAGACAUGGAGUAUAGAAAUAGGUACAGUGUUCUUGUCUGAUAUUCUUAGUUGUGCUUUAGGAGGCCAGACACUAGAAAGCCUGAAAAAUUCAUAAAAAGUUUUUACUAGAACUCUGUAUCUCUUCUCAUAACAAAAUUAAAUCUGUCCUAUCUGAUUUGUGGCAACUGGGACUUGAUCAACAUAAUUUUAGUUUUGUAAAUCAAUCUUUAAAAUGUUAUACUUCACCAUCCCAUGCCUCUGUUGCUGCUGUAUAGCCUCUGAGAGGAAAAACACUGUUCUUUGAUGAAAAUGACACUGCAAGUCCAAAUUAAUAUUAAUUGAGGCUUCGUUGUGUUGACCACUGUGGAGAUGCUUUAAACUAUCUUGUAUGAUGUGCUAAUAAACCAUUCCUGAAUGUGGGUGCAAUUUAUACUGGCAAGAUAAUUUUGCCUUUGUCAAGACAGCUUUUUCUUUAUUUAAAUUAAGAAGAGAGGGAAUGGAAAGUGGAACUAAACUAUACCGUGAUUUUUUUGCAUAAUUGUCUACAAUAUGAAUGCUCGCUAGACUGGUUAUGUUGGCCACAAAUCACCUUUUGGUGACCCAUGAACAAUUUCACAUUAUGAACAGAAAGGCACAAGACCUGGGUGAAGAGUUUACUUGGAGCAUUUACAGCAUAAGCAAUUUGGGCAGAGUUUUCAAGUGCUAGCUCAUCAUAUGAGACUAUAUUCUAAGCUGCACUGAACUUCAAAUGUAUAUGUAUUUAAACAUUAAUGAUAUUUGGUUCUCUGUAUGUACAUGCAGAGUCGGCUGCUGCUUUGAAGAGAUCACCUUCCUGCAUGGAGGAAGGGAUGCCACAGAGUGCUUAGUGAUAAGAACAGUAACUUGUUAAUUAUGUGUUAACAUAGAAUAGUUAGAGCUUUGUAGCUAAUGAGGCAGCUUCAUAGAGUAGUAGUGCAAGUUGUAGUGAAAGAAAAACUGAUAUAGGGCUUCCUAUUUGUUUGUGAGGAUGGCAUGCAGAGACAGAAGAGCGACUCUGAUUCAGCUGACUUGCUGUAAAGUGAAGAUGACAGUUAAAACAACUUGAAGAUCUGAUCAAGAUAAUGGAACAGGGGUCAGCAGUGAGAAGAAAUAUCCCUUUCACUCCUGGAGACAAGAAACUGAAAGCGACUGCAGUCUCGCCAUCAGCAUGUGAAUACAUAUACAAUUGCCUUCACUUCAAAUCUUGAGAGCAGGUGGGUUUGGGUGCUGUUGGUAUUAUCUGAGUAUUUUACACUGUCAACAACUGAUUUUGUUUACAGGUGGGGACAAGUUCUUCGUGCUAAAAAGGGAGAAUAUGAGGAAUACUAAGGCUUUUAACUUUGCUGCCUGGUAGACCAGUGCUAUUUUAAAUCUGAUCCAAAAUUAUCCUUUUCUACAGAGAAGUGCUUUAAAUACAGAAGGGUUGUGAAAUUAAUUCCUAUGAAUCCAACAACAACCAACCAGAAAGAAGAAAAAAAAAUAAAAUGUACUGUGUCAUAUGUAUAUAUCUUAACAGUUUGCUCCUUUUCUGGGUUGGGCAGCUAGAAGAGAUGAAUCUAGAUUCUUUUCCCUACAUCUCUCAGCGUCAAUUGCAUCUGUCUGUCAUGGCUUAUCUGAUGAGUGGGGGAAAAGGUCUAGUUAUCCUUGUGGCUGGUUCAUGAAAGAUAGUUCCCCAGAAGGGGUUUUUGGAUGCCUUGAAGAGCGUUUUGUGGUUAGGGUCUAAAGCAUCAUUGCCAUUAAGAAGCAGUCCUGCUCUUUACAGGCAUCUUUUUGCUGCUGCUACCCUGUCUCUGUUGUGUCAACUAGUAUUUAUGCGGUAGCACAGUUAGGCAGAUCAAGGAGGUAAUCCGACUGAAAACUAAUCCAGCUGAAAGCGCAGCUAUUUUUCAGGCACAUGUGCAAGUGUUAGCACAGAGUGGUGGGAAAGCAUGGCCCCUGUGUGGUGAGGGAAGCUUGCACACAGAUUGGCAUCCUGGAAGCAUGCCUUUAGCACUUCCCUAGGCCUUUGGGUAAAAGUCACCUUUAAUUAGAUGUGUUUUACUGGAGUGUUCUCAGGCAUAGCUGCUCUGCCGUAGGAUCUGUUUGGGCUGCUGAUGAAGCACCACAUUAUAUUUCUUGAUUGAGCUAUCCAGUUAAGCAGAUGGCAGCAUGUACUUAAAAGAUGACCAACUUGGGAUCGCAUAGUGAGUAUAGACAUUAAUCUGUGUAAUGAUUUUAAGCAGUUCAUUUCUCUUCAUUGCCACGUGGUGGUGAUGUUGGUUGUUGCCUUCAAGGAGCUUUGGACUUCCAUUGCUGAGGGUAAGUGGCAGAUAAGUUGGCAAGGAAUGUUUUACAGGUCAAUAUCUAUGAUGGCCUUUUCCAGUUCUGCAGCGUUUUUCCCAGUUAUCCACAUGGUGGGGGCAUUUGAGCUCCUAUUUGUAUUCCAUUUUACAUGUAAACAUUUUUGUACCUCAGCAGGGUCAGCUAAUAAGCAGUAGAAAGUAUUUUGCUAAGGAUAACUUUGACAAAAUACAAUAGAUUUCAAGGUAGCAUGCUGCGGGUAUCUCCAUUUGAAUCCUUGCUCAGCUGUCAUCCUAAGUUACUCUAUAUCUAGAAGGUUUUCCUACCCUAUCUUUACCAGAUCAAUCAAAGUCUUGGUUGUGAUCUUUUUGUCUUUGCAAUGAACCUGUUUCUCUGGCGAGAUCUGAACUCUGUCCUCAUGUCCUCAGUGGGUCAGCUCUCACCUUCUCUGAACGUACAGUUCUUGGUGCCUUUCAUUAUGGUGUUGCUGGUUGAAGCAUAGUCCUUUAAUCUCUGUCCAUCUUGAGACUCCAGGACUUUGAGUAAAGGCUCUUCUGUGUGAAAUACUGACUUGUUUCAUUUUCAGGGUGACAAUGUUUAUAAUGAGUCUUGUAUGUUUAUUUGCCACUAACUAGCUAAUCUGGAGAUGAUGGAUGUUUAUGCUUGCCAAGGUGAGUGGUGGAGUGGUCGGUUGCAUCCCUGGAAGACUCAAAGAUUUUGCAGUUGUAGGGAACGGAGUGCUUGCGUUGCUUUCUCAGCAGAGUGUGCAGUAUAUGCCCUAUAGGUGUGUAUUCUCUAGUCCUGACUGUAUGUCAUCCAGCAUGUGAACAUAAAUACCAAAAGAUAUGUGACCUUUUCAUUAUGCAAAGGACAUAAAAACAGGAAUUCACCAAAUUAACUGAUAAAGAAUAACUGUGCUGUAUAUGGAAAAUGCUCUCCUCUCUCUCAGUUGCCUAUAACUAAUGUCUCAUUGGUUUCAUGCUGACAAGCAGAGAUGGAGAAGAGAUCAUCCAUUCAGAAGAAUGUGUGUGGAAAUGAGAUCAAUAGCACUGUAAAAUCCUCUCCGCUGACUAUUGGCGAUGAGCAUCAGUGUGAUCUAUGCCUUGAAGAAAUUUAUAUAGUAUAGGUAAAUGCAUAUUCUCUGUAAAGACAGCUUACAAAACAACUUGUUUAAAUAUGUUAAAGUCUGGGUUUUCUCCGCUUGCCUGUGUCCAGUACUACAAACUCAGAUUUACCGAGUCUUACAUCUUUUUGUUCCUUAGCUUAAGUUUUUAUGGUUUUCUUCACAGAAAGCAGAAGAGGAAAAUGGAAAAUCAAGAUUAUCAUGUAUUUUCAAGUCACACUUGGCUAAAAUAAGAAGGAGAACUUGAUGAUACGUGAUGCAGAAAACAACUGAGAAGAAGAAGAGAAAGCAUCAAAUCAAUUUUUCUUUAUAUAAACUCUGUUCCAACAUGACAUUAGUUACAGUAGGGAAUGUUGGGCAGUGCUGGGCUGUUGCGGCCCGGUGCUGGGGUUUUGCAUAGCUCUGAACAUGUUUGGGUGGAUAGAGGAUGUCCAGCUAUCACAAUCAUAGAGUUUCCACAGCCUGUGUGAGUGUCUUGACAGCUAACUAUGUUCUGUUGCAAGACGCUGUGUUGGACUGUGUGUACAUAAUGUUUCCAUACUCAGCCUGUGAGGUGUGGGAAAAAGAAGGUAGCAGUCUUGAUUUAUGAGUCAAAGUUUUUGGAGGUGUGGAAGAGUAGUCAGGGAAGGAACAUAAAAAGGUGAAGAUUGGGGAAUGGAAUGUUUGGCGUUGGUUUUAAUUGGAAUCAUCCUGUUCAUCACUCAUAUUGUGAGAUAAAGGAGGGAAAAUAUCCAUUACUAUAGCACACUCAAAGAGAAAAUAUUUGUAUUAUAGUUAGUGAGCAAUUCUAAUUGACCUGACAAAGGUAAUUGAACUGAAAUACAGACCUUACUCCAACAGUAAGUGUAUUUCUCUUAUGGUAGCGUGAGAUACACAACUGCCAUUACAUUUAUCCCUAAUCUGUCUGCAAUCUAAUGACAUGUCUAAAAUUCACGCUACUAUUAAUUCAGUAUUAAACUUAGCAAUUAUCUCUGUCAGCCAAAAAAUUAAUAAAGCCCAAUCAAUUAACCUUUCUCUCAUGAACACAAGCCUUCUUGUGCCUCUCUCCUGAAAAAGGUAAGAAGAUGACACUCGUUAUGGCCUGACAGAGUGACUGUUGUAAACCAGAGAAGGAGGUUGGUCGAUGACUUUGAGAGCUCAGAGCUGAAGGUUCUUCUGAGUUUUGGGGGACUUCAUUCUUGCCCAGGAGGAACCAGCCGUUGAACUUCUCUGCUUGCCUUCUCCAAGGUGUGGUGCUGUGACAUGACGAGGGGCAUGUGCUACCUGUGACGGCAGCUAGUCAGCUAGCCAUGGAGGGCAACCUAUGUUGUAAUCUCCCUUCCAGCAGUGCAAACCAACUGACGUGACCGAUGCUGUUACUUCACGUGUUACUGUAAAUUAGAUUAGGAUCUGCUCCUCCUGGGUUUGUUGAAUUAGCUGGCAGUAUCUUUAAAAUACUUUGUAGAGCGUUUGGAGUGUGAUGUGAAACGCAUCAUUUUUAAGGCUGAAACCUUACUAAAUGAAGUGAAACAAUCUGAGAUCCUUCCAUGUGUCAAGGGGAAAAGUUUAAGAGGUUUAAGUUCAGAUCGUUCUACAUCUUAUAAUUUAAUAAGUGUCAGGAUAAGUGUGUACGAGUAACCCUUUCACCCCCUAGUUGAUACAAAAGAUUUUUCUCACUUUACAUGAAUGUCUCAAUGUAGAUUGUAGCUUCCUCUAAACCAAUUUCUUUUUUUGGCUUCUGACUUAAAAACAUGCAAAGAGAUGUUCCAGGGUAAGUACUCUGAAUUACUCUCAAGCUGCCAGAUGUCUUACCUAAAAAUAGUGGUAGAGAAAACUCUUAAUUGAUUGCUUUCCUUUUCUAAAAGAUACAGUAAGGCAGUUUUGACAUUAUUCCAUUCAGGUCAUCAAAUUCAUGUAAGCUAUUGUAGUACAAUGUAAAACAUACAUUUUAGAAGAAUGAAAAGUGCAGCAAGUUUGAAUGAUGCGUGAACAUAAAUUUACUCAUCUUUUAUAUAAUGCCUUCUUGAGGUGCUGACGUUUUCAGUACAUUAAUUGUUCAUAAUGAAUACUCUUGCAUAAAAUAUUUCAAAGGUAAUUUUCUGAGGCCAAAGAAUGACUAAAAAGUUAUUCACUAAAGAGCAGCCAAUAGUCUGUAUCCAAAAGGAGACCCACAGGAUGUGAAAUAAACUGAUGCAACAGGCAAGAAGUUUGGUUAUAUGAAAGAAUCUGCCCUUUUACAGCUUUGAUGCCCUAGAACAGAAGCCACGGAAGCGAUGUUGGCUGGUGCAGCGGCAAUAUCAUUAUGUUCUAAUCAUAUGCCAUUGAAGGAAAGGAAAAAAACAGCUUUGGGCGAAAUAUCCAUACCUCUUGUAGCAGAAGUCCAAGAGAUAGUCACUUCUGCUGCAAGUAAUAUGUGAUCAUUUUUGUGCUAUAUACUUCAGGAUGGAUAAUACUAAUCAGUGAAGAUAAGGUAUGUUUAAAGAAUCUGCUUAAAAAUAAGGAAAAUAAAUUAGUCAAUCGAUUGGACUGCUUCUAGGCAGUAGAUUUUAAACAACUUGUCACAUAUUUCUUGGCUGUUACAGCCUCACAUAAGAGCUUUUCCUCAUUCAUAAAGAAAAUCAAUAGUAAAUAGUGAAAUCAAUAGUGGUAUUUAAAAACUCACCAAACAUUUUCCAUCCAGAGAAAGUCUCACUUUCAGAGUGCCACUAAUGCAACAGGCAGAGUGGGAAAAACACGUAGGCUUGGCCUUAAUGGUAAAUAAGAGAGUGCAGUUAGAAAGUGCAGUGAAGAAAGAUGCUUUCAGAAGCAACCCGGAGGAAGACCUGCCUGCUCGCCUACAAGAGCAAACCUCCAAACAGAGACACUGUGGGCAUCAGCUUGCAAAAGUCCUUUGCUUGAAGAUGUACUCUAGAUGCUAUGCUGACUUCCAGCUGAAGGAAACUGGCGUGAACAGCAACAAAAAUGUCACAUAAUGGUGAAAACACCAACAGAAACACAGUAGAGUAAGUUUCUUGUAGCACAUUACAACCGUAUGUCCUGCUGUGCUCCAGGCAAUGAAGAGGAAACAUUUGCUACUUCAGGGUGCUUCAUUCUGCUAUCCCAGAAAACCUGGGAUCAUUGUGGAAAUGGGGAGAUACAAGCCAUGUAAUUAGAUUUGUUUGUUAGUUUAUAUUUUUAGUAGAAGCAUGAAGAGGAGUAAUACAGUACAUGGUGAUCUUGCGGCUGUGUCUGUAUUAAGGCAACUUCUGUGCUGAAGAAGAUGUGUUUUAGUUACAAGCUGUACCAGUUAAUACAACUGUAAUUGCCCACAGUUGCCACAUUUGAUUUAUGAAAACAAAUAGGAUUUGUCAGUAUCCCCUCUCCUCCCCCAUCCUCCCCAAAGCAAUGCAGAACUGUUUUCCAGCCUCUUGCGUGGAGUUGUUCGGAAAUAGCAGGAGGCAGCAGCAGAAGAGCAAGCCUGUGGAGUUUGGGAGCCAUGGUCUUUCCUGAAAGGCUGAUUUUCUGAGCUGCUGCAGCCGAGAUGAGGUUCAGAGAGUUUGCUCAGUAUUGGCAUCUCCAGACACCCAUGCCCUUGCUCUCUCGGUGGCAUUCAAACAGAUUUUAAAAUAUGCUACUUUAUUACUCAUGGUGAUAUCUAGUUUGGAGGGUUCAUGUGGUUCACACUUUCCCAAGCUUUUUCUCUGAACUUCAGAGUUAGAAAUUCGUUUUUCUUUUUAGGUUAAAAUUCAGAUUCACAUGGAAGCACUUGACUCCAGAAGCUGCGGCUUCAACCAGGAGAUUGGAGAUUCAUGAUAAAGUUGGCAGAAUUGUACUGUUCUAAACACUGUCAGAGACAUAUGCUGCUCUUCCUCCUCCUGGAAGUAGUCCCACAGAUGUCUCAUGAUUAUUCACUUGAGUCAUGGUUGCAGAAUUGAGUGUUUGGCGGUUUGGAUUCCCAGAUUCCUACGCUGCAUAUUUAGGGUGUUUAAAGUGCAAAUUCUAAUAGAAGACCUGCCUGUUUUAAAACAUAAAGGAUGUGUUUUCCCAAACCCCAGUGUUUUGAAUUUAAACUGAAUCGCCUCUUGACUUACAACAAUGUUUGGUCAAAAUGAGACCUCUCCAAGGACAAAGAGACAAAAAAAUAUAAAAAUAAACUGGACAUGGC